This 337-nucleotide ribosomal RNA is filed under the name uncultured bacterium. Its description in RNAcentral is "bacterial SSU rRNA". It matches the Rfam family "Bacterial small subunit ribosomal RNA", at positions 8 to 334 of the family's 1533-position model. The record is from RNAcentral.
AGAGUUCGAUUAUGGCUCAGGAUGAACGCUAGCUACAGGCUUAACACAUGCAAGUCGAGGGGAAACGAUAUUGGAAGCUUGCUUCCGAUAGGCGUCGACCGGCGCACGGGUGAGUAACGCGUAUCCAACCUGCCCUUCACCACGGAAUAAUCCAGUGAAAAUUGGUCUAAUACCGUAUGAGGUCAUACGAUGGCAUCAGAAUAUGACGAAAGGUUUGGCGGUGAAGGAUGGGGAUGCGUCUGAUUAGCUUGUUGGUGAGGUAACGGCUCACCAAGGCGACGAUCAGUAGGGGUUCUGAGAGGAAGGUCCCCCACAUUGGAACUGAGACACGGUCCAA